CGGGAGGCAGCCUAGGGUUCUUCCACAAUGGACGAAAGUCUGGUGGAGCAAUGCCGCGUGAGUGAAGAAGGGUUUCGGCUCGUAAAACUCUGUUGUUAAAGAAGAACACCUUUGAGAGUAACUGUUCAAGGGUUGACGGUAUUUAACCAGAAAGCCACGGCUAACUACGUGCCAGCAGCCGC
RNAcentral lists this ribosomal RNA (182 nucleotides) under uncultured Lactobacillus sp. RNAcentral describes it as "partial 16S ribosomal RNA". It matches the Rfam family "Bacterial small subunit ribosomal RNA", at positions 342 to 518 of the family's 1533-position model. Lineage: Bacteria; Bacillati; Bacillota; Bacilli; Lactobacillales; Lactobacillaceae. The record is from RNAcentral.